RNAcentral lists this transfer RNA (75 nucleotides) under Camelus bactrianus (Bactrian camel). It matches the Rfam family "tRNA". Rfam says of the family: Transfer RNA (tRNA) molecules are approximately 80 nucleotides in length. Lineage: Eukaryota; Metazoa; Chordata; Mammalia; Artiodactyla; Camelidae. The record is from Rfam by way of RNAcentral. RNAcentral also lists the same sequence under 2 other names.
GAGGGCAUAGCUCAGUGGUAGAGCACAUGCUUAGCAGCAUGCACGAGGUCCUGGGUUCAAUACCCAGCACCUCCA